UACGAAGGGGGCUAGCGUUGCUCGGAAUGACUGGGCGUAAAGGGCGCGUAGGCGGAUGGCACAGUCAGAUGUGAAAUUCCCGGGCUUAACCUGGGGGCUGCAUUUGAUACGUGUUGUCUAGAGUGAGGAAGAGGGUUGUGGAAUUCCCAGUGUAGAGGUGAAAUUCGUAGAUAUUGGGAAGAACACCGGUGGCGAAGGCGGCGACCUGGUCCGAUACUGACGCUGAGGCGCGAAAGCGUGGGGAGCAAACAGG
This 253-nucleotide ribosomal RNA is filed under the name uncultured bacterium. Its description in RNAcentral is "partial 16S ribosomal RNA". It matches the Rfam family "Bacterial small subunit ribosomal RNA", at positions 524 to 776 of the family's 1533-position model. The record is from RNAcentral.